GGGGGAUGUUGAUGAUUUACAGAGUCUCUGUGGCUGGCAUCUGAAAGAAAAUGUUGAGAGAAACUCCCACAAAAACUAGCAUUAACCUUUGAGGGAGAGCGGGAUGUUCACUGAAAUUGAAGCCAGCUGCUUAGGCUCCUGACAAGAUUAACAUAAUACAGAAUCUAAAAUAGAAGGAGGGAGUUUAGGCAGAAUGUUUCAUAAAUAUCUGAGUCCAUAGAAAAUAAAUACAGUCAAAUACAUGUGGCAAACAAUAAAGUAAUACUGAGCAAAAGAUAAGGGGAGAACAUGAAGGGCCAGCAGUGGUUUAUGGCUCUUUGCAUGAACUUGAAAGCAAGGGAGGAGUACUUGCAUCCCAGGCAAACACAGCAACGAUGGCAUAACCUCCUUGACUUGAACCCUUUGGAGAAGCAAUGAGUGCUACAGCAGCAGAGGAAUCCUCAUGGGCCUGAAAGAAAAGAGAACAAAUCCAUUUAAGUUAAACUCAUAAGCUAAGAGGUGCUAGAAACAAAGGCUGGUUGUGGUAAUCUAAAGCAGUGAGCUCAGGUACAGGAGUGAGGGAACUACAUGUCCAGCAAAUCAUGAAAGAUGUCAUCUGGAGCAGCAGCAGAGAGGGGAAGGUGUCCUGUGGGUUUCAAAGGCAUGAUAGGGCCUGGUCUGUUGAGAAGAUGAUUACCGAAGGACCACAAUAAUUGUGUAAAGGUUUGGGGACGUUAUCCAAAAGCUUCCGUUGUCACCAAGGCGCAGAACAUUGCCAUGCACGUUUCUCAGUUUCUCUUUGGCAGGAGAACUACACCAGCAGCGUUAACUGAGAAUCAUGAGGUGAAUAGAAGAACCAAUAGGACCACACUAGGGAUGGUUCUGGCUACUCUAAAGAUAAAAAAGUAUAGGACUGAACCAUAAUGUAUCAAAAUGGAAUAUCUUUUGAUUAUGUUAAAGAUUAACUACUGAUGAUUUGAAAAUAUUUUCAAAUCACCAGUGUCAAUCCCUAUCAAUCAUCAGUAGCAAAUGUCCUUAUAAAAACAGAACGUAUUUUUGAAGAUCCAGUGCUUUAGGGAAUUGUUCAUUCUUCAGAUUGCCAUUUUGGCGUUUUAGUUGUACAGGAGUGUACAAGUAUCUAUACUGAUGACAUUGGGGCUUAAUAUAAAUUACAGACAAGCACAUCCAAAGAUUUUACAAGAAACUUGGCAAAGUAUUUAGGUUGGCUAGAGUUGAAGUGUCAAUUCACAUGCAAUGAAGACACUCCAAGGAGGAGAAGUUAACAGAGCCUCAGCAGGGAGGCAGAUCACAGUAGGACAGGGACCACCACCUCUACCACCAGGAUUGCCAUUUCUUGGAACAGUGAACAACGUGGGGAGUGGGGAAAUUUGUGUCUGUGCUACCCGCUCAAACAGCAUCCCAAAUUCACUCUUGUGUGACAAUCAAGACAGAUGUGGGAAGAACCUUAAGAAUCUGAGGAACUAAUAAAAGACUUCAGUUUUGAGGAGUUGUGACAGAAGGCACAAAGCUAAGGUUGUCCAGUAUAGCCCCCAAAAAACGGGUUAGAUAACUGUUUUACAAGAAUAUGGUAAAAAUUGGUCAUCAGUGGUUUAUGUAUCAUCUGCACUGGCUUAACGUGCUGAAAUGCAGAAGGCGGCUUUGAUUCUAGUUGAAUUAUGUAGAAGUUUCAUCUUAGAGAAGGUCGAUGUGAACAGAAACUGACUUCAGAUCACGUGGACUUGGCUCACUCUCUUUGAAGUGAGAUUAUUUUUCAAUUACAGAUGCUGGAGAGAAUUGUUAUUUGCAUAUAGCAUCGGUAUUUCACAGAUGUUGUGGUGACUGUAAAGUCACCAUAGAGGUGAGUUGGGUGAGCACAUGCAGUAACCCAUCAGGUCUUCUACUUUCACAGCUUACCUGGAAUGGGUCUUGAUUUCCUCAAGGCAGGGCAACAGCACUACUACUUACUCCAGCACAGACAGCACUGCUCCAGGAAAACCUCUGCAAGCUGUGGAACGGCCAAUAAAGGUAAUGCUAACCUUCUGUAGUGACUCUACAGGUGCCAGAAAACAUAACUGAGCAAGGCAACCAAAGUAACUUGUGCUGGGUUGAAAGGUAGACAAUUCCUUCAUGGAGCCACAGCAGCAAUAUGAGAACAGAUUAUUCUCUGUUAUCUAAUCAAAGAGUUUCUGAAAUUUGCAGAGAUGUUAAAACACAGCCAAAACCCACCUGAACAGGUUCAUCCUUCGUAUGUUGAAGGAUUGGGUCUACUUGACAAUUCCACGAGAACAUGACAUGGGCUGUCAUGGGAGGGCUGUGAGAGAUGGAUGAAUAGUCUGAUCUUGUUUACCAAGUAGGUAUAGUACAGACAGGUAAAUUUUAGAGGCAACUUCCUGUUAGAUACACCAGCUUGCAGAUCCUCCCACCCUCAUGACAUAGGAGAUGUGUUAUUUGGUGAUGUGCACUGUUACCUGAAUGCAGCUGCCCUCUGUGUACAGUGGAAGAAAAUCUGCAAAUAUUCCAGAUUACCUGAAUUACUUUCAUUAGUGUAAGGGAGUGCUUCCUUGAAGGACCAGGUACUCCAUAUGCUUUUGUCUGGUAUCCCCAGUGAAGCGAGGCUCAGGGCUGGGCAGUGUACAUCAGAGUAAGCAGCAUCAAGUCUUUCAACCACCGAAGGAGUAUAGGGGCCUGCACUGAUGAUUCCAGAACAUUGUAUCUUGCCUGUAUGAUUCUUAAGGGUUUAGCCUAUAAACCAUACUUGAGGAUACAGUUAAAACACGAUUAAGACAACUGAGCCAUCUUUAAUACAAUAUCCACCCAGCUCUCUUGGGAUGUGGACAAAUGGUUUUAAAACUAGAAUUAAAAAAACCCACCCCAGCAGCCCAGAGAAAGAUCUAGAAAGAACACUGUUUUGUAACAUAUUUUGUCUACCUCUUAACUCAUACCUAUUUCUUUUUAGUAUAUCCAUCACUUCUCACAAUCGCAUGAUUUGCUUUUUCCCCUGAAAUACAUUUCAAGAUUUCCAUGAAUACAAAAGUGAAAGUCACUGAGAAUAGCAUAUCCACCACUGUCCCCAACUCACCUACCUCCUGGCUACUUCCACCAAAGUGUAGAUAGGUGCUGUCAGGCUACAAGCAUUAGGUACUUGGGAAGACAACUCAUCAUCUGACUACAAGUCAGACAGCAUUAAAAGAUGCGCAGCUUAGUACUUUACUAGUCCCUCAGAGCUUCACAAAAAUACAGAAAGCUCAAAAAUCUACCUACUUCCUUCAUUAUUUUGACCCAACCCUGUAACUUAAGGACAGCAUUUCUUCUGUUAAAUGCAAUGCUUCAAGUACUGAAAGUCCAAAGUCCCAGAUUCCUACAAGUAUCGUGAAAGUAUCUGAAAGUUUAGAAGACCGCAACAUCACACAUCACAAGAUCAAGUACUCAAUAGCUGAAGGAACACAAACACACAUUAACAAAAAAUGUUCCUCCAACCAAGUCAGAAGAAUGCCUUCCUGAAAUAUAGCUGGAGGACAUGAAGAUGACUAGAUGGAUAAAUUUUGAAAGCUUUAUGCUCAAGGAAAGUUUGACAGCUUGGGAAGGAUUUAAAUUCAGGCUAAUUAAGAAAACCUGCAAAAUUUCAGAUUUUCUUGUCAUGAUGCCUGCUCUGACACCAAAGUUGCAAAAAUCAGGUUUCAGGCAGAUCCUUGAGACAGCAUAGGGGCUCUCACACUGCAGCAGAAAAUUGUAUCCAAUCUUGCAGUGACCAAGUGCUCAUCUCUUGCCUUCUCUGUAAAAUUUACUGCUGAGAACUGCCUUGUCACAGACAUUUCAAACACACUGUAAAAACUCAACCUUGGAAAGCAAUUUCAAAUUAACGCCUCGAGGAAAAGAUGGCUAAUUUUUCCCUACUGCACACCCUUAUUUAAAUCUGAAAUGACUAACAUGUAUUAAUAAAGUCCCAGCACAAAGGUGUUGACUUCUGUAGUUGGCACAGAAUCUGCCACACAACACACAACUUUCUGAAACAGUGCUCAUCUACACUGGGGUGCGAUCACGUAUGAUCCAGCCUCAGGUUUUCCUUUCUCGUACUUCUAUUUGUAUGUGAUACACGAAUGUGUUAACAUCACAAUUGUUGCAACACUGGUGCUUUGAAUGUCCAAAAGGAAUAAACUCCUGAAAGUACAUCUAAGAAAGACUCUCCUGUUUGCAAAGGAACUGAAUAAACUCUCCUUCAAGGAAGCACUGCUGUGCAAUCAAAGCUAUCUUCUGUAAGUGCAGUAAGGAAGCAGGAUAUAACAUUUAGUUUCAAAUUAAUAACUAUUUAGAUUUUUGGAAAAAGGGGGAAGAAUGUCAUCACUGAGUCAGACCCAAAGUUUAACUGCUCUUUUUCAAUUGAAUAUUUGAAUAAAUUUCAAAAGAUGGUAUCCUUGUAAAGACUUUAUUCUACAACCAUCUUUGCUUCACUAAAACUGGUAUUCCAAAGGGAAUCAGAGGUUUCAAAAAAAAUACCACUAAUGCCAUUUUCCUUCAGCUUUAAUUAUUUCUUUUUUAUUUUCGUAAGUCAAAUGAGUCAAUAUAUUGGUAUUCCUAAAUCAUCCGUCUUGCAUUUUGAUGAGUUAGUCUACCACCGUUGUUCUGAGUUAUGAAAUUUCAAAGUCUCUUUGGAAUACUAAUUUCAUAUUUAUAGGUUUCAAUUUUUUUAUUCCUAUUUCCCUGAAUUCUUUCUUGACAGUUGCUGAUGUAAAAUUUAAUAUAAAAUAUUUAGUCACAAAAUAGUAUUGCUUUUAUGCACAUUGUGGUAAGAUUAUUUCUUUUUUCUCCCAAUAAAAACUAUACCAUCUUCCAUAAAAUCCUAAACAUAUUAAGAACUGUGAUGCAGAACAAAAUUACACAGGGUGAAACAGGUACCAGCACAACAGUGAGAUUGUAUUACAUCAAAAAAUUUUAAUGGUCCCAAAUAUAUACUCAACAACUAAGCAUACACUCAGGGGGGCAAAAAAAAAUUAUGACACAAAAGUGACCACAUCUAGAAUUCCACUCAAUCUUUAAUCAAGAAGGGACAAACAAAUCCCUUACCUCCAAAAAAAAAUUCUGCAGUUUAAAGGGCAAAGGGAACAGAUUUUUAAAAAAAAAAAAAAAAAAGA
Strigops habroptila (Kakapo) is the source of this 5108-nucleotide long non-coding RNA. NCBI's taxonomy places the organism in Eukaryota, Metazoa, Chordata, Aves, Psittaciformes, Psittacidae. The record is from Ensembl.